UACGUAGGGCGCAAGCGUUGUCCGGAAUUAUUGGGCGUAAAGAGCUCGUAGGCGGUCUGUCGCGUCGGCUGUGAAAACUUGGGGCUCAACCCCAAGCCUGCAGUCGAUACGGGCAGACUAGAGUGCGGUAGGGGAGACUGGAAUUCCUGGUGUAGCGGUGAAAUGCGCAGAUAUCAGGAGGAACACCGGUGGCGAAGGCGGGUCUCUGGGCCGUAACUGACGCUGAGGAGCGAAAGCGUGGGGAGCGAACAGG
This 253-nucleotide ribosomal RNA is filed under the name uncultured bacterium. RNAcentral describes it as "partial 16S ribosomal RNA". It matches the Rfam family "Bacterial small subunit ribosomal RNA", at positions 524 to 776 of the family's 1533-position model. The record is from RNAcentral.